GGACCCAGAGCGCUGUCGCCAUGGGAAGCCGGCUGUUCCUGUUCGCCGUGCUGCUGAGUUGUCUGAUGGCCACGCAGCUGACGAGCUGGACGGGUGCUUCGCCGCCUCCCGGGGUGUUCCGGGCUCCCUGCUUCGGCAGCCUGCCGCAGUUCUCCGUCACCUUCACCAUCAACAACGGUACGGCGUCCACAAAUUCUUCGACGGGUUAGGAACUCCCUACAUCCAAGUUGGCAACAGUAUAACGUUCCACGUCAAACUUCAAGUCCAGCAUGUUCUUGAGGAUUUUCAACGACGACCAGUGUAACCCAGCAAUGGCGUACGUCCAUGAAAUUAUUCUGAAUAAUAAUAAAAAAAGAUGUGUAAUGUAAAUGUGUAGUUCGGCGUACUGUGGAUAAAUUUGAACGUAUUGCAAGGAGGUUUAUUUUGGAAACAUACACUGUAUUUUUUUUUGUAAAUGAAACAGAAAUAUUAAUGAAAAAUUACAGAUAUUUGUAAAUUUGUACAUUUACACGAAAACAACUGUAUCACUAAAAAAUAGUGUUCGCAUUUACACUGAGUUCGGAUUCUUACCCGGGAAUUUAUGCUUUGUGUUGUCCCAGUACCUUCAAUAGUUAAAGUUAUUUGAAAACCGUUUUCUGAAUAGAUUUCCAGUAUAAUCUGCGCACAUUAAUAAGCAUAAUAAAACAAAUGAUGUCCAGU
This is a long non-coding RNA of Bacillus rossius redtenbacheri, 699 nucleotides long. RefSeq lists it as uncharacterized. The record is from RefSeq and is a predicted model, not a curated record. The transcript has 3 exons. Lineage: Eukaryota; Metazoa; Arthropoda; Insecta; Phasmatodea; Bacillidae.